CAGCAGAUUUCUGUACUGAGCCAUUGUCUUCACAGAAGGCAUUCCGUUUUUUAACUUGCCUGUUUAAUCUGCCAAAUGUAGGCUUCAGACCCGCUUUUCAUUUUAGACAGUUUGUUGUUAAGCAUAAAAUUCUCUCAUAAUGAAAAAAUAUGUGCUCCUCUGUCUCUGCUCUUUUGUGUGUGAGUGUGUGUGUUGGCAAGCAUGCACUUGGCCAAUCAUAUCAAAUCCCUCCAGGUAUGUGUGUGUGUGUGUGUGCGCAUCUGGUAUUGUGUGUGAUUGUAAAGAUGCAUCUUGAGCAUUCACGUAAGACACUGACUUAAACUCAAACAUUCACAUCCGUUUAAGGGGAAAUCAGGAGCACUUGAGGGCUCCUUGAAGGCAGAAACCCCAAGACCACUACAUCAGCAGAACAGUAGCUUGCUCUGAAAGCAUUUGAUGUUUUCCUUUUUUUUUAACUUAUGUAGUUUUUGCUUAAUUAUAGUUUUGUUGUCGUUUCCCAUAACCUUGACCACAAUUAUUUGACUGAAGUUUUUCUUAAAUAAAUGCAAGCUCUCCAAUGAAAAUGUUUACAGUAUGUAAACGCCAUUUGUUACACUAAUGUCCUUCAGCAUGUCGGCUCACAUAGAUCAUUUCCUCCCCCUGCUAAUUUUUUUUUUUUUUUUUAAAGCUAAUUUUUUUGUGUCAUCUUUUUAAACUUGUUGUACAGGAGAUGGCCUUUGGCUUCCGUUCACUUUAAACAGGAUGACUGGAUUCUUUGUGUGAAUUUACAGAUUUCUUUGUUUUUUUGCUGGGAUACACCAGGUGUUCCCACGGCGAUACAGAAACACGUUGCUCAGACUGUUCCUGAGGAAACUGAUGCCAAGCCAGGCGUUUCUGCUGUGCUUUGCUAACUUAUGUUCUCUGUGUACCCUGGGAACUCUUGUAUUUUCUUGAAAGACUUUUCAUUAAAUAAACUAAGUAAUUUACAUGGUUUCUCUCCGCUGUCUGUUUUAUCAAAUGAAUGCAGAAUGUCUCUCUC
This is a long non-coding RNA of Clupea harengus (Atlantic herring), 1018 nucleotides long. Lineage: Eukaryota; Metazoa; Chordata; Actinopteri; Clupeiformes; Clupeidae. The record is from Ensembl.